Molecule: microRNA precursor, 109 nt
Organism: Sorghum bicolor (sorghum)
Lineage: Eukaryota; Viridiplantae; Streptophyta; Magnoliopsida; Poales; Poaceae
Rfam family: MIR5565 microRNA precursor family
Source: Rfam
AUAGUCGGAUUCGCAUCAAUCCACAUGUAUUGGGGUGGGUUGGAGUGAAACUUGAACUAAAUUCCACCCUAAUCUACUCCAAUACAUGUGGAUUUAGGUGAAUCCGACA